CCUACGGGUGGCAGCAGUGAGGAAUCUUGGUCAAUGGGCGGGAGCCUGAACCAGCCAAGUCGCGUGAGGGAAGACGGUCCUAUGGAUUGUAAACCUCUUUAGUCGGGGAGCAAUGCCUGGCACGUGUGCCCGGAGGGAGAGUACCCGCAGAAUAAGCAUCGGCUAACUCCGUGCCAGCAGCCGCGGUAAUACGGAGGCUGCGAGCUUUAUCCGGAUUUAUUGGGUUUAAAGUGUGCGCAGGCGGAAGAUCAAGUCAGCGGUAAACUUGAGAGGCUCAACCUCUUCGAGCCGUUGAAACUGGUUUUCUUGAGUGAGUGAGAGGUAGGCGGAAUGCGUGGUGUAGCGGUGAAAUGCAUAGAUAGCACGCAGAACUCCGAUUGCGAAGGCAGCAUACCGGCGCUCAACUGACGCUCAUGCACGAAAGUGUGGGUAUCGAACAGGAUUAGAUACCCCGGUAGUC
Molecule: ribosomal RNA, 460 nt
Filed under: uncultured bacterium
Lineage: Bacteria
Description: partial 16S ribosomal RNA
Rfam family: Bacterial small subunit ribosomal RNA
Source: RNAcentral